RNAcentral lists this ribosomal RNA (390 nucleotides) under uncultured bacterium. RNAcentral describes it as "bacterial SSU rRNA". It matches the Rfam family "Bacterial small subunit ribosomal RNA", at positions 112 to 518 of the family's 1533-position model. The record is from RNAcentral.
AACGCGUGAGCAACCUGCCUUUCAGAGGGGGAUAACGUUUGGAAACGAACGCUAAUACCGCAUGAAGUAUCUUUGCUGCAUGACAGAGAUACCAAAGGAGCAAUCCGCUGAAAGAUGGGCUCGCGUCCGAUUAGAUAGUUGGUGGGGUAACGGCCUACCAAGUCGACGAUCGGUAGCCGGACUGAGAGGUUGAACGGCCACAUUGGGACUGAGACACGGCCCAGACUCCUACGGGAGGCAGCAGUGGGGAAUAUUGCACAAUGGGCGAAAGCCUGAUGCAGCAACGCCGCGUGAGGGAAGACGGUUUUCGGAUUGUAAACCUUUGUCCUUGGUGAAGAUCAUGACGGUAGCCGAGGAGGAAGCCACGGCUAACUACGUGCCAGCAGCAGC